GAGCUUCGGUGGUGGACGAUACCGCAGAUCUCCUUGGUCUUGGAGUGACACUGCAAUUGAUCAGUAAGUAAAUGUUUGUCGCUGCCAAGAACAUCCUCACCUUUGAGUAUUGUACAGGUGCCAAGACAGGAAAGAAGAGCAAUCCCGCAAACCUUGAGAAGUGGUUGUUUUCUGGAGGAUUAUUUGCUACGGACGAUGUCAAAUACACUGUGAAGUUUUCAGUGGACCCGGAUUUCGGACUGCCUGGAGCAUUUAGCAUCACGAAUAGUCAUCCAAGUGAAUUUUACCUUGUCUCUUUGACUGUCGAGAUGCCUGGAGGGGGGAAGAUCGUUGAGUUCCCUUGCUAUUCCUGGGUUUACAAUUCGAACCUCUACAAAACUGACCGUCUGUUCUUCAGUAACCAGGUAGGCUCUGCGUGGUAAAGAUCUCUGACUGUUGUAUCCUUACGAAUUCUUUCAGCUCUACCUGCCAAACGAGACACCGACGGGCCUGACAAAUGCUCGAAAGAGUGACUUGAAAGCCCUGCAAGGAGACGGAACGGGAAUUAGACAAGACUGGGAUCGGAUUUACGACUACGAUACUUACAACGAUCUGGGAAAUCCACUCCUCAACAUGAAAAGACCAACAUUGGGCGGAUCGACCGAUCUUCCUUAUCCCCGCAGGUGUCGCACCGGUCGAAUUAACAUCAACGGAGGUCUGAAUAAGAAAAAAAAGAAAGAAAGAAAGAAAGAAAGACACUAAUUAAUGAUGUUUGCUGUGCAACAGUUGAAACUCUCACGUUGACCCCGCUAAAUAAAUUCUACAUACCAAGCGACGAACGAUUUGGCUCCGUGAAGAACAGUGACUUCCUGGCCGACGGUCUCAAGGCACUGACUCACAGCGUCCUUCCAGCUCUGGAAAGCAUCAUCACGUUUGACCAGACGUUUGAUUCGCUCAAGGAGAUAAAGGACCUGUAUGACCAUGGAUUUGAUAUAUCCGAGCUUGUCAC
This 988-nucleotide long non-coding RNA is filed under the name Selaginella moellendorffii. RNAcentral's name for it is "long non-coding RNA (SMOE_LNC000309)". The record is from RNAcentral. Lineage: Eukaryota; Viridiplantae; Streptophyta; Lycopodiopsida; Selaginellales; Selaginellaceae.